RNAcentral lists this ribosomal RNA (253 nucleotides) under uncultured bacterium. Its description in RNAcentral is "partial 16S ribosomal RNA". It matches the Rfam family "Bacterial small subunit ribosomal RNA", at positions 524 to 776 of the family's 1533-position model. The record is from RNAcentral.
UACGAAGGGGGCGAGCGUUGUUCGGAAUUACUGGGCGUAAAGGGCGCAUAGGCGGCCGAUCAAGUCAGAUGUGAAAGUCCUGGGCUUAACCUGGGGACUGCAUUUGAUACUGAUUGGCUUGAAUUCGGGAGAGGAUAGCGGAAUUCCCAGUGUAGAGGUGAAAUUCGUAGAUAUUGGGAAGAACACCGGUGGCGAAGGCGGCUAUCUGGACCGACAUUGACGCUGAGGCGCGAAAGCGUGGGGAGCAAACAGG